Musa acuminata AAA Group (dessert banana) is the source of this 2605-nucleotide RNA transcript. RefSeq lists it as uncharacterized. Lineage: Eukaryota; Viridiplantae; Streptophyta; Magnoliopsida; Zingiberales; Musaceae. The transcript has 3 exons. The record is from RefSeq and is a predicted model, not a curated record.
GGUAUUAAGUGGGCCUCUUUGUUGGAACGCGCAUUACGGCGCGACGAGUCCCUCUCCGCUUCUGCUACGGAGAAACGAUCAAUCGAUCGAUGAAGCUGAAAUGGUAAUGGGGCGAACGAAGCAUCCUCGAGGAGGAGGCGGAGAUUCCCAGGCUAUCGACUUCCAAUGCUCCGUGUCGGCUUCUCUGCAGGGAUCGAGGAGGAGGCGUUGGCGGUGUCGAGCACGACUCCCACGCUAUGCACUUCCGAGGUUGGAGAAUUCUUCUUCCCCUAAUCACUCCUUGUAGGCUCGGCAUGACGAUCUUGCCUUUUUCUGUUACACCAAUUCCUUUCCGAUGGUUCCUUUUCCGGUACAGAUCAAGAGGAGACGGUCCGGGAGCACGCCCGGUAGAGUAACCUUCUUCUAAUCCAUCCGUUCUUGAACCCAUUAUCCUCGUCCCUUUCCCAAAAUACUGUUCGUUUUCUUGUUGACAGCUGUUUCUUGCAGUGUGUUCGUCCACUCCAUCUUCCACCAAACUUGGUAUCCGUGGGGAACUGGUAACGACAUGUUAAAUGCUGCUAAAGAAUAUUGGUCUCUUUUCCUAAUAGCUUAAGGUUUUAGGAUUUGUGGCUAUCCAAUUAAAACUUUAAGAUAGUAUAUUGGGCUCAUGAGAUGGAUAGGAGCUCAUGAGAUGUGAUAUUAAAGUACAUAUUGGGCUCUAUUGGGGAUGUUGAAGCGUAUAUUGGGUUCUAUUCUACCUGCUUACAGGUUCUAGCAAGUUCUCACCCAAUUAAAUCUUUAAAAAAUGUUAUCAAAAUUCUGUAUGCUUAUUAUAUAGUUCGGAAAAUAUGAACAUCCAAAAACCUUGUAGUUCAGGUUGUUCUUGCAAAAAUGUUGUUCUUUUUGUUGUCUCAGGGCAAAGGAUCAUGCACUGCUUCAGCUUGUGUACAGUGCAUCUAAAGUGCUCUGUAUUAUCUAUCCCUCAUUUAUGGGAUUGUGUCAUAAUAGGUUGAGGGUGAUAAUAGACUGUUUGCAAAGCUAGGUGAGGUAUUUCAUGUUCAUAUUGAAAUUGUGCAGGAACUUUCUUUUGACUGAUGAACCUGAUUGACACUACCAAUCACCGAAAUCCAUGUAUUUGUUCCCAUCCAAAAUUUGGAAUUGUGCAUUCAGGGCCAUAUUAUUGUGAUAGGUUUCUCCCAAAGCCAGACCUUGUACGAGUUGAGGCUAUUUGUUGAAAACAGAAACCUUGACGAUGCUUCUCAAUCUUUACGUUGAUGCUAUCAGAAACAUACUACUAUGAGAAAAAAAAGCUAGCAUCUGGACCAUUCAUGUAGUUUUAUUAUUAUCUUAUCUAUUAAACCACUUGUGUUGUCUGACGAGAGUGAUUGGGGUAGUGAUGCUCUUGAAAGAAACUUCAAGCUGUUUUGUUAUGAUUUAUUUAUGAUGAUUUAUCUUCUUGUAGGCGAUAACAACAACAAUCGAAUGAGAUGCACAAGUUGGCUUAUUUUAAGCAAGAAAUAGAAAGACUAUGGAUGCUGAUAAAGUAAACUUAUGAUGCUCCAAAAAAAUAUUAUAGGAAACGUCAUAAGAUUUAAGUUUAGUGCAUGAUGAGUCAAUCUGGAUAGCCACUCUUAUCUAGAUUUUUGUGUCGCAAUCUCCCUCCUUUCUCUUUUAUUCUAUGCAGGAAUGAUCCAAGAGGACAUCAGUAAAUAAAAGCAUCACAAGCCGCAGGUGGAUUGGAGGAUCUCAUGCCAUACAUGAGCCUGACUUUAUUACAUCCUGGUUAACCCUCAAAAGGCCAACAAUUUAUCGAUUAGACAUCAAUCGAGUACUGAGAUCAAGACACUGGGAUUUGAUAUUUUGUUGCAUGGCACAAUGGGACCAAUUGCAGAAAAACUUGGCCAUGAUUGUUGAAGCGUGCAAGCGAUAGAUAUGUGUUAUAUAUAUAUAUAUAUAUAUAUAUAUAAACCAAGAAGAAAGCUCCUGUGAAGGACAAAUUAGUCUUGGAUUUCCACUGUACAUGGAUCAUCAAUUACAGUGACUCAUGCUGUUGCAAUAAUUCAUGAUAGGUUCGAGUGAUGUUGCUUUCUUUGAGGUUCACCAAUUGUAAUGAGAGAAAAAGAUAGGAGUCUUAUCACCUUGGAAUAUGGAAUCUUGGACAUAGGCCACACAGUAUGAGAGAGGGAGAGAGAGGAGAUUCCAAGUGGCUGAGUGCGCCAGGAAUGUGUGCGGCAAAACCUGUUGUCAUCACCUGAUGUAGCAGAAGUACAGAAGACAAGGAGCCUAUCGGUUUGCUUGCCUGUGAAGGAGAAGGAUGAACAACUGUUAUUGGGUCCACUAUCAAAAAGCUUAGAUCCACAACAGAGAGAGAGAGAGAGAGAGAGAGAGAGAGAUGGUUGUGUUAAUUUUUCUCUCUGCAAAUUAUUGUGUACUCUUAUCAUUCUUAUAGAUUAGGAAAAUAAACAUCGACUAAGUAGUCGAUUUUUACCAUUGAAUUCAAGAGGGUGGUGAAGUUUCCACGAUCCUUCUCCAUCCACCUCUUGGAGGUUCAUUGAACCCAGACUAUUUUUGAUAUAAAUCCAUGGAAUUCAAGAGGGUGGUGAAAUUUCCACGAUCCUUCUCCAUC